Molecule: long non-coding RNA, 258 nt
Organism: Ornithorhynchus anatinus (platypus)
Lineage: Eukaryota; Metazoa; Chordata; Mammalia; Monotremata; Ornithorhynchidae
Exons: 3
Source: RefSeq, a predicted model, not a curated record
CGGCCUUUUAGAUUACUCAUUCACCAGACUGUGAGUUCCUGUUUGUCUGUGACCGCCAAAUGCCACAGUGAAGGGCAAGGAGAUACAAAAGGAAGGGCCCAUUUCAUCUAGGGGGAACUAGAUCCGUGAAUGCCAUCUUGGAAGUCCCCUAUCACCAUCCCCAUUCUCAUCUCUAUCAUGGCUGCCGGGAGGACUCAAAAUAGCUCCAGACUUACCAGGUGAGGUAACUGAGGUCCAGAGAAGUGAAGCGACUUAUCC